GAUCCUGGCUCAGGAUGAACGCUAGCUACAGGCUUAACACAUGCAAGUCGAGGGGCAUCAGGAAGAAAGCUUGCUUUCUUUGUCUGGCGACCGGCGCACGGGUGAGUAACACGUAUCCAACCUGCCCUUUACUCGGGGAUAGCCUUUCGAAAGAAAGAUUAAUACCCGAUGGCAUAAUGAUUCCGCAUGGUUUCAUUAUUAAAGGAUUCCGGUAAAAGGAUGGGGAUGCGUUCCAUUAGGUUGUUGGUGAGGUAACGG
This 258-nucleotide ribosomal RNA is filed under the name uncultured bacterium. RNAcentral's name for it is "partial 16S ribosomal RNA". It matches the Rfam family "Bacterial small subunit ribosomal RNA", at positions 15 to 263 of the family's 1533-position model. The record is from RNAcentral.